GAUGAACGCUGGCGGCGUGCCUAAUACAUGCAAGUCGAGCGAACGGACGAGAAGCUUGCUUUUCUGAUGUUAGCGGCGGACGGGUGAGUAACACGUGGAUAACCUACCUAUAAGACUGGGAUAACUUCGGGAAACCGGAGCUAAUACCGGAUAAUAUUUUGAACCGCAUGGUUCAAAAGUGAAAGACGGUCUUGCUGUCACUUAUAGAUGGAUCCGCGCUGCAUUAGCUAGUUGGUAAGGUAACGGCUUACCAAGGCAACGAUGCAUAGCCGACCUGAGAGGGUGAUCGGCCACACUGGAACUGAGACACGGUCCAGACUCCUACGGGAGGCAGCAGUAGGGAAUCUUCCGCAAUGGGCGAAAGCCUGACGGAGCAACGCCGCGUGAGUGAUGAAGGUCUUCGGAUCGUAAAACUCUGUUAUUAGGGAAGAACAUAUGUGUAAGUAACUGUGCACAUCUUGACGGUACCUAAUCAGAAAGCCACGGCUAACUACGUGCCAGCAGCCGCGGUAAUACGUAGGUGGCAAGCGUUAUCCGGAAUUAUUGGGCGUAAAGCGCGCGUAGGCGGUUUUUUAAGUCUGAUGUGAAAGCCCACGGCUCAACUGUGGAGGGUCAUUGGAAACUGGAAAACUUGAGUGCAGAAGAGGAAAGUGGAAUUCCAUGUGUAGCGGUGAAAUGCGCAGAGAUAUGGAGGAACACCAGUGGCGAAGGCGACUUUCUGGUCUGUAACUGACGCUGAUGUGCGAAAGCGUGGGGAUCAAACAGGAUUAGAUACCCUGGUAGUCCACGCCGUAAACGAUGAGUGCUAAGUGUUAGGGGGUUUCCGCCCCUUAGUGCUGCAGCUAACGCAUUAAGCACUCCGCCUGGGGAGUACGACCGCAAGGUUGAAACUCAAAGGAAUUGACGGGGACCCGCACAAGCGGUGGAGCAUGUGGUUUAAUUCGAAGCAACGCGAAGAACCUUACCAAAUCUUGACAUCCUUUGACAACUCUAGAGAUAGAGCCUUCCCCUUCGGGGGACAAAGUGACAGGUGGUGCAUGGUUGUCGUCAGCUCGUGUCGUGAGAUGUUGGGCUAAGUCCCGCAACGAGCGCAACCCUUAAGCUUAGUUGCCAUCAUUAAGUUGGGCACUCUAAGUUGACUGCCGGUGACAAACCGGAGGAAGGUGGGGAUGACGUCAAAUCAUCAUGCCCCUUAUGAUUUGGGCUACACACGUGCUACAAUGGACAAUACAAAGGGCAGCGAAACCGCGAGGUCAAGCAAAUCCCAUAAAGUUGUUCUCAGUUCGGAUUGUAGUCUGCAACUCGACUACAUGAAGCUGGAAUCGCUAGUAAUCGUAGAUCAGCAUGCUACGGUGAAUACGUUCCCGGGUCU
This 1372-nucleotide ribosomal RNA is filed under the name uncultured bacterium. RNAcentral describes it as "bacterial SSU rRNA". It matches the Rfam family "Bacterial small subunit ribosomal RNA", at positions 28 to 1381 of the family's 1533-position model. The record is from RNAcentral.